GUGAAUCAUCGAAUUUUUGAACGCAAAUUGCGCCUUUUUCGGAGGGCAUGUCUGUUUGAGGGCACGAUUUAACAAAUAAUGUGCAUUUGGUGUGCACACGUUGAUGAGCUUUCCAAAAUUAUGUAUUAUUAUUUGUGGUGGCGCGUAAUAAACAUCGCGAUUUUUUUUUUUAGUUCGAGUGUAGUAGAAUUUUUUCUUGCUUGUGUUGUUUAAAGCGUGAUCGCGCAAUUGAGUGGGGCGUUUC
RNAcentral lists this unclassified non-coding RNA (244 nucleotides) under Paraglomus occultum. RNAcentral describes it as "partial contains 5.8S ribosomal RNA and internal transcribed spacer 2". The stretch from base 1 to 65 matches the Rfam family "5.8S ribosomal RNA", at positions 84 to 154 of the family's 154-position model. Lineage: Eukaryota; Fungi; Glomeromycota; Glomeromycetes; Paraglomerales; Paraglomeraceae. The record is from RNAcentral.